AUAACCAUUAACUAGAAUACCCACAAUCAUGGACCUAAAGAGUUUGAAAAUAAAAAUCCAUAUACAUCAAAGGCAAAAAUCUCAAAGCAUUUCAAGCCCAAGCCAUAAUUUGAAACGUAAUUAGUAAUUACUUCCAGCAAAUUUCACCAAUGAAAAUUAGAAUAUUAUUGACUAUAUCAUUGAAUAUUCCAAAUCAAGAUAAAU
Molecule: unclassified non-coding RNA, 204 nt
Filed under: Hevea brasiliensis (rubber tree)
Lineage: Eukaryota; Viridiplantae; Streptophyta; Magnoliopsida; Malpighiales; Euphorbiaceae
Source: RNAcentral